Molecule: ribosomal RNA, 897 nt
Filed under: uncultured Gammaproteobacteria bacterium
Lineage: Bacteria; Pseudomonadati; Pseudomonadota; Gammaproteobacteria
Description: bacterial SSU rRNA
Rfam family: Bacterial small subunit ribosomal RNA
Source: RNAcentral
AUUGAACGCUGGCGGCACGCCUAACACAUGCAAGUCGAGCGGUAGCAGUGUAUUACGCAAGUGAUACAGCUGACGAGCGGCGGACGGGUGAGUAAAGCGUAGGGAUUUACCUGAUAGAGGGGGAUAACCUGUGGAAACGCGGGCUAAUACCGCAUGCACUCUAAGGAGUAAAGCUGGGUGAAAACCUGGCGCUAUGAGAUAGACCUACGUCAGAUUAGCUAGUUGGUGGGGUAAAGGCCUACCAAGGCGAUGAUCUGUAGCUGUUCUGAGAGGAAGGUCAGCCACACUGGGACUGAGACACGGCCCAGACUCCUACGGGAGGCAGCAGUGGGGAAUAUUGGACACUGGGGGGAACCCUGAUCCAGCGAUGCCGCGUGUGUGAAGAAGGCCUGCGGGUUGUAAAGCACUUUAGUCGGGGAGGAAAGGUAUAUUGUGAAGAGCGAUAUGCUGUGACGUUACCCGAAGAAUAAGCACCGGCUAACUCUGUGCCAGCAGCCGCGGUAAUACAGAGGGUGCGAGCGUUAAUCGGAAUUAUUGGGCGUAAAGGGCGCGUAGGCGGUAUUAAGGAGUUAGAUGUAAAAAGUUUGGGCUUAACCUGAGCGGGUCAUCUAAGACGUUGAUACUGGAGUAUAGAAGAGGUAAGCGGAAUUCACAGAGUAGCGGUGAAAUGCGUAGAUUUCGUGAAGAACAUCGAUGGCGAAGGCAGCUUACUGGUCAUAUACUGACGCUGAGGCGCGAAAGCGUGGGUAGCGAACAGGAUUAGAUACCCUGGUAGUCCACGCUGUAAACGAUGAGAACUGGAUGUAGGUACUGAGAGGUAUCUGUGUCGAAGCGAACGCGUUAAGUUUUCCGCCUGGGGAGUACGGUCGCAAGAUUAAAACUCAAAGGAAUUGACGG